UACAGAGGGGGCAAGCGUUGUUCGGAAUUACUGGACGUAAAGGGCGCGUAGGCGGCCUUCUAAGUCGAACGUGAAAUCCCCGGGCUCAACCCGGGAACUGCGUCCGAUACUGGAAGGCUUGACUCCGGGAGAGGGAUGCGGAAUUCCAGGUGUAGCGGUGAAAUGCGUAGAUAUCUGGAGGAACACCGGUGGCGAAGGCGGCAUCCUGGACCGGCAUUGACGCUGAGGCGCGAAAGCCAGGGGAGCAAACGGG
Molecule: ribosomal RNA, 253 nt
Filed under: uncultured bacterium
Lineage: Bacteria
Description: partial 16S ribosomal RNA
Rfam family: Bacterial small subunit ribosomal RNA
Source: RNAcentral